GGACUGGUGGCUAACUCAACAAAACAUAAAGACAACAUACAACACCAUCACAGGGGACAUAAGGACAUCACCGCAACAUCUACACAGGCUAUAUCUAAACUGACUUCUAAAACACUGGAUUAUUUUGCUUUGGACCAUUUUACUUUUUUGAUCAAACAGGAUUUUAUCAAGGAAACAGUCUUGGCCUAACCAGCAGGAUCAGCUGACACUGGAGGAUUCCUCCCUGGCCACGGCCAUGUGAAGUGAACACUGUUGGUGUGAUGCUGUGUUUCAGAUUCUCUACUGGGUGUGUGUGCACCUGGAGGAUCCCUCCCAUAGGGGAGAUGAGCUCAGCCAGGGGAGGAGAUGCAAGCCCUGUGUCUAUGCACCAUGCAAUAUCAUGGGAGGAGAUAGUAUUAGUUGACUUAUUUGCUCUGACGGAGAGAUUACAAACGUUAUGACCAAAAUAAUGUGUCACAUCAAGCAAUAUCGAUAGAUGGAAGGGUGUGCCUCACAUCUCAGUGAAGUGAAUGUGAAUUUGGAGGAGUACAAAAAGUAGAAAAAUAGAGGUGCUGGGAAGAACUGAAGGCAUAAUUCAUAAUAAUGAACAUGAUGAGGGGAUGUGAUAUGAAGGAUAUAGUAUGUCACAGAGACAGUAGAUAUGGUAAUAGGAGAGGAGGAAGGUGGGGAAAGGUUCAAGUGACAUCUGAACUUGUAUAAUAGUGUAUAUAUACUGUAAUGUGAAGUGGUUGGUCCUGCUGGUAACGUUCACAUUGCAAUGCCAAUGAACCUUGCUUAUGUUUAGUAAGGCAGAGGUCAUCUGUGCAAUAAUAUGCUAGAAAUAUGUGAAAACAAGAGGGAAACAAGAGGAUAAUUAGGCUGAAAAAACACCAAUAUUACGAUCAUAAUUUGUUAUUCUAGGAUGGCAGGCUCCAAGUGCUGCUUUAAUGUGCACAAUGAACAAUGGGACAGCCACUUCUGAGUGGAUGAGAAGGGUUUUUAUGAGGAAAAAAGUAGAGCAGUGGAACCCUGAGGCUGAGAGAGAGAGGGGCAGAGAGAGAGGCUGAGGUAGAGAGAGGGGCAGAGAGAGGUAGGUAGAGAGAGGGGCAGAGAGAGGGGCAGAGAGAGAGGGGUGAAGAGUGGGACCAUUUGUGGUGCUUUGCCAUUGUUUAACACAAGAAAGGACACACUCAGAGUGAAGAACCAUACUGUACAGUCCCUCACAGAACACACAUUCAAAUUUAAAAUACUUUACAAUCAUUGUGCAGCUGGUUCCACUUUAUAUGUCCUCCUCGGGAUAUUGCAACAGAGACAGUAAUGGCACAUUCUCCCCAGCCACACCCAAAACAAUUAAAGGCUUCAACAGACAAAAGAUGACUUGCUCUUCCUUCUCAUCUCACCCACUUUUAUUUACAGCGAGCAAGAGGGUAGGACCUCCAAAUCUUUAACCAUCUUAUUUAUGUUUUCUUAGGUUCAACGUGUUGGCACCAACAGUGUUCAUCCAGUCAUGGACCUCGUCAUGAGAGCUCUUAGGCCAGAAUAUGCAACAACAAAGUAAUAUAUCAACUGGCCUGUAACAACAUUCCCUAGUGAUAGCUGUUUCUCCUGGUUUGGCCUCUUUUCAAUAAGGUAAAAUAGCAGCUAUUGGUACAGUCUGUUUCUCUCAGAUGAACCAAGUACAGAUGACACUCUGGUCCCGCCAUGUUUUAAAAACAUAUGUAGCCCAUAGCAACAGCUAUACUAUUAUGUAAGACUUAUUUUAUUCUUGACAUUUUAUUAUUAUUCUGGCCAUGGUAAAUACUUAUAAAUGAAAGCCAGCUUAAGGCAUGAGUGGUAUCUCCUUCAAAAGUAAUUUUUUCUCAGGACUUGAAAAGUUGAUGGUGCCAAGUUCCAACUGAGAUUUCUUCAGUCAUUUUCAAACACACAUCAAAUUAGUACAUGAAUACAUGAGACUUUUCCACUUGGAGAGUACCAGCUGGACCAUACUAUAUAUCUAUGACCUCUGCUGACUUAACUAUUGACCUAAGACCUUUGACCCAGGGAAGCAACAAUAGUUCCCUGUGAUGUUGAGAGUAUUUCCAGAUUUCUGUCACUGUACUGUCUAUUGCUGUGCAUGGAAAUCUCUGUCAUCAAAAUAAGUUCAGUCGAUGAAACAUGAUGUAAUGGGGAGGUCACUUUGACACAUCAGAUCACUGCAUUUUAGAAGUCACUAUAUCUUGGCUUUGGUGUCAAAAACAGGGCCAACCCAUGAGAUGUGCCAUCACAGAGUAGGUCUACUAGUAUUACUGAGCCCUACUAUAUCAGUAUAGCACUAAAACAACCAUGUUAAUGACUUGGAGGAAGAGCUUUGAAUGGGAGUGUGAUGCCAGUUUGGCAAAAUCAAUUAUGAUCCCUGAUGACAAAUUGACAUGGGGAUGAAGCUCUGGGUCCAGCAUUUCACCAAGGGUCAAUGACACAGUAAACGGAUUCAAAUUCAGUAAUCAAGAACAACUCUGUAUGAUAAUAGAGCAUUCACAAAUAGGCCUCAAGACAAGGAUUUACUUCCAAAAAAUGAAAAAUAGGAAGUCCAAACAUGUUAAUCUAUGUGUGUCGAUGUCUGGUAAAUGUGUAUGUUGUGAUAGUGGAGGAAAUGUUUUGUAUUCAAAUUGAAUAUGUACACGUGCAUUAGUGUUAGAAGAAGGAUCAUGCUUGGGCUGGUGUGCUAACUGAACACUAAUUUGGGCUUCGUUGGGAGGGAUGGCUAAUGAUCUGAAGAUAACUGUGUCCAUAUCAGUCAAACCUUUUUCAUGACUCCCUCCGUUACUCUUGGCAUUAGUCUGGAGCACAGAUCCACCCUCUAUUCUUUGCCCCAAGGCUGCCCUGCUCUGUCCUGCUGGUAGCCCUGCCUAUACAAUGAGACACACACAACAUCAGCCUGACUCUAUGCACAGCCAGAGGUCCUGAGGUCACAAACAUUCACAACCUUUGUCAACUUGAACACCACCUGGGACAAGGGCUGUCAUUGGCUGAAACAUGGAAGUGGUACACAUCUGUCUGGCAGGAAAAGAGGCCUCUAUGACUUACAGCCCAUCUUAGACUGCACAAUACAAAAGGUAGACUUGACAUCGACACAGAUGCUUUCAGAUAUUCAAAGCCUGGGGAAUACAUGUAUUACCCUUGCAUUAAACUUAAUUCAUAGCUCUCAUUGAAAAGUAAUUCAUGUCUUUCCCAGUGGAGAAAACUGUAUGAUUAGCAUUACUGAUGAAAAACUGUUGUGAACAUUUUUUGGUUUGUUUUGUGUCCUGUGCCUGUGUCUUUAAAUGUCUUGGAUUAAAUGUUCUUGGCACGGUCUGUGUCUGAAAAAUGACCGAACUGCAACAAAUGUCUCUUUGUUCUCUCACUAAUCCUUCUUGGAGUCUGAAGUCUGUCUUUGAAAACAUUCUUUAUUUCUGGUCAUGAUCUAUGUCUGUUCUAUGUGUUCCAUUACACUGUGUUCCACUAAAUGCAGACAGAACCCUUGACAGAGAGGUGCUGUAAUUAAAAGUGCUUGAUCGUG
Long non-coding RNA from Salmo salar (Atlantic salmon), 3514 nucleotides. RefSeq lists it as uncharacterized. The record is from RefSeq and is a predicted model, not a curated record. NCBI's taxonomy places the organism in Eukaryota, Metazoa, Chordata, Actinopteri, Salmoniformes, Salmonidae.